RNAcentral lists this ribosomal RNA (465 nucleotides) under uncultured bacterium. RNAcentral's name for it is "partial 16S ribosomal RNA". It matches the Rfam family "Bacterial small subunit ribosomal RNA", at positions 28 to 507 of the family's 1533-position model. The record is from RNAcentral.
GAUGAACGCUGGCGGCGUGCUUAACACAUGCAAGUCGAACGAUGAAGCCCAGCUUGCUGGGUGGAUUAGUGGCGAACGGGUGAGUAACACGUGAGUAACCUGCACUUGACUCUAGGAUAAGCCCGGGAAACUGGGUCUAAUACUGGAUAGGAACGUCUACCGCAUGGUGGGUGUUGGAAAGAAUUUCGGUCAUGGAUGGACUCGCGGCCUAUCAGCUUGUUGGUGAGGUAAUGGCUCACCAAGGCGACGACGGGUAGCCGGCCUGAGAGGGUGACCGGCCACACUGGGACUGAGACACGGCCCAGACUCCUACGGGAGGCAGCAGUGGGGAAUAUUGCACAAUGGGCGAAAGCCUGAUGCAGCGACGCCGCGUGAGGGAUGACGGCCUUCGGGUUGUAAACCUCUUUCAGUAGGGAAGAAGCGAAAGUGACGGUACCUGCAGAAGAAGCACCGGCUAACUACGUG